RNAcentral lists this signal recognition particle RNA (300 nucleotides) under Delphinapterus leucas (beluga whale). RNAcentral's name for it is "Metazoan signal recognition particle RNA (ENSDLEG00000011849.1)". It matches the Rfam family "Metazoan signal recognition particle RNA". From Rfam's summary of the family: The signal recognition particle (SRP) is a universally conserved ribonucleoprotein. It is involved in the co-translational targeting of proteins to membranes. Lineage: Eukaryota; Metazoa; Chordata; Mammalia; Artiodactyla; Monodontidae. The record is from Rfam by way of RNAcentral.
GCCGGGUGCGGUGGCAUGCGCCUGUAGUUCCAGCUACUCGGGAGGCUGAGGCAGGAGGAUUGCCUGAGCCCAGGAGUUCUGGGCUGUAGUGCGCUAUGCCGAUCUGGUGUCCGCACUAAGUUUGGCAUCAAUAUGGUGACCUCCUGGGAGCGGGGGACCACCAGGUUGCCUAAGGAGGAAUGAACCGGCCCAGGUCGGAAACGGGGCAGGUCAAAACUCCCAUGCUGAUCAGUAGUGGGAUCGUGCCUGUGAAUAGCCACUGCACUCCAGCCUGGGCAACAUAGUGAGACCCCGUCUCUU